UGUAUCACAGGGAGUUUGUUGAAAAUUCAUUUUUGUUGUUAGAUUAGGCCAAAUUAGGCUUACCGGUUUAGCUGUUUGAUGAGGUUUUUAAGUGUGAACAUGGUUUAGCAACAUGGAAGCCGGUUUUCAUGGUGUCAUCGAAGGUGUUAGAAUUGGCGAGAAACACUGCUAAAUAACAAGUACAUAAUCAUUCCCUGGCAUGCUUUGUUGCCAAUUAGGAACAAUGAAGAGCUUGCAAAAUUACUAGCUGGGGUUACGGUUCUGCAUCGUGAUGUUCUUCCGAAUAUUAACCCAGUUAUGUUGUCGAAGAAGACCGUUGCAAAGCAGCCUAAAUCUCCAUCGAAGGCUACCAUGUAGCCAAAAAAGAUGACUAAAGUAGAUCACUAGAUUGCUACAUUUGUGUUAUUUUUGUGUUAGUUUCUUUGAUCAUGUUAUUGUUAUUAUGAUAAAUCUAUCAGAUAGUUGGGUUUAUGGUA
Molecule: long non-coding RNA, 476 nt
Filed under: Helianthus annuus (common sunflower)
Lineage: Eukaryota; Viridiplantae; Streptophyta; Magnoliopsida; Asterales; Asteraceae
Description: sRNA HanXRQr2_Chr15g0702331
Source: RNAcentral